CCCGCCCCUGCCGCGCACGCACGCACACGCGCCUCCUACACACACCGUUACGCACGCGCCCCAGCCUGGCGUUCAGGCCGCACCCCGCCCCAGCCCGCCAGCCGCGCGCCCCGGGAUCCUAGAAUCGGCGUUUCCCCGCCGGCGCCCCAGCCGCCACUCCGUGACGGACAUUGGGGGCCUUCCGCCGAGAGCGCGCUCGUGACGCACGGAACACGCUCCUUCCGCGGGGCGGCGCACAAGCUUCUGGGAAACGUAGUUCGGCCUUCCGUCCCCCUCGAGCGGGACCGCGAACGCCUGGAAGCGGGCGCCGAGGACGGACUCAGUAGGAAUUUGAUGAUAGCAUGGUGGUCAAUCUUGUUUCUCCUGACGGUGCUCUUCUAAAGAUACGUGGGCUGCCUCCAGAGUCUCAGUUCUUGGGCUGCUAGAAGGGAAGACUUUGGGUGAAAUGCAUCCCUCCUGUGACUGGACUGGAGAAACAAGAACAGAAACAU
RNAcentral lists this long non-coding RNA (491 nucleotides) under Piliocolobus tephrosceles (Ugandan red Colobus). Its description in RNAcentral is "lncRNA (ENSPTEG00000030798.1)". Lineage: Eukaryota; Metazoa; Chordata; Mammalia; Primates; Cercopithecidae. The record is from RNAcentral.